Catharus ustulatus (Swainson's thrush) is the source of this 1039-nucleotide long non-coding RNA. RefSeq lists it as uncharacterized. The record is from RefSeq and is a predicted model, not a curated record. The transcript has 3 exons. NCBI's taxonomy places the organism in Eukaryota, Metazoa, Chordata, Aves, Passeriformes, Turdidae.
GUUCCAUUAUGGAAACUGCCAAUUUCCCUGCCAAAGUCUUGGCUCAGAAGAUUCACAGUUGAUCCCCGUGAAAAACAGAUACAUUUAGCAGCAUCUAUUCAAGGAGCUGUGCAGAAAUUCUGUGAGUACUUUGGCACAUUCUCUUGUCAUCCCAACACUGCUCUUUGAGGGAAAGGCACCACAGAAAUAUUUCAGGUACCGUGCUAAACGCUCUCAUUCCAGUGAGGAUUUCUGUUAAAAAGUGGGGUUUUUUUUCCCUGCAAUCUUGGAAUUUUAAGUGUUUUUCAGAGUUCCUGGUCAUGGAGGGUCUGUUCUUGAAAUAAUGCCUGGCAGCAGAAGUGCACACAGAGCUCUCCCUGCAGCUGGUGCACAGAUGCAGUGGUUGCUUUCCAAGCCCCCAGGAAAUCUUGGAUGCAUCCUUAAUAGCCAAGUAAGGGAGCUGAACACAUUUUCCAGGUGAGGAACCAUCACCAGGUAAAGGUGAGCGGUUCAGGCAAUCGCUGGGAGGACUCCUCGUGAAAAUACUGAUUCAGCACCGUAAUGUUUAGGUAAAUGCUACAACAGCUCUUUAAAAGAGAAAAGCGAGACACUUCUUAUGUAUGACUCACUAAUCACUGUCUGUGCUGUGGAGCCUGGAGUACAAAUUCCUUUUGUCAUGAAAAUGCUUGCUCCUUUGAUCCCCACAGCAUCAUUAAACAGUUCUAAAGAGUAAGUAAAUCUUUUGGCACAUUCUUUGCAAAAUAAGCGUUUCAGGAUUCAGACGCAUGUGGGUGUGUUUGUGAUGCUGAGGAGAUUGAUACCGAUACAAUUUUUAGCAGCGGGUGCAGACUGUGCGCGAUGCUUUGCCGAGGAAAAGAGGGAGACAGGUUUUUCCAGCUCUUUUUCCAAAGCAAAUAUGUCGAAAAUUGAAAUGCACAGGGCAGCCAUGCGGGAUUGCUGCACAGGAUUUGCUGGUGCAAAUUAAACCUAUUUAGCCUGGGUGUAGAACUUUCCCUGUUGACACAUGGAAUGUUCUUCACAAAGAGUUUUGAAGACUUUU